UCUACGGGAGGCAGCAGUGAGGAAUAUUGGUCAAUGGGCGCGAGCCUGAACCAGCCAAGUAGCGUGAAGGAUGACUGCCCUACGGGUUGUAAACUUCUUUUAUAAAGGAAUAAAGUGAGGCACGUGUGCCUUUUUGUAUGUACUUUAUGAAUAAGGAUCGGAUAACUCCGUGCCAGCAGCCGCGGUAAUACGGAGGAUCCGAGCGUUCUCCGGAUUUAUUGGGUUUAAAGGGAGCGUAGAUGGGUUGUUAAGUCAGUUGUGAAAGUUUGCGGUUCAACCGUAAAAUUGCAAUUGAUACUGGCAGUCUUGAGUACAGUUGAGGGAGGCGGAAUUCGUGGUGUAGCGGUGAACUGCGUAGAUAUCACGAAGAACUCCGAUUGCGAAGGCAGCUUACUAAACUGCCACUGACAUUGAUGCUCGAAAGUGUGGGUAUCAAACAGGAUUAGAUACCCCUGUAGUC
This 460-nucleotide ribosomal RNA is filed under the name uncultured bacterium. RNAcentral describes it as "partial 16S ribosomal RNA". It matches the Rfam family "Bacterial small subunit ribosomal RNA", at positions 338 to 795 of the family's 1533-position model. The record is from RNAcentral.